UCCGGGGGGAGCAAGCGUUGUUCGGAUUUACUGGGCGUAAAGGGCGCGUAGGCGGCCAGCACAAGUCAGUUGUGAAAUCUCCGAGCUUAACUCGGAAAGGUCAACUGAUACUGUGCGGCUAGAGUGCGGAAGGGGCAACUGGAAUUCUUGGUGUAGCGGUGAAAUGCGUAGAUAUCAAGAGGAACACCUGCGGCGAAGGCGGGUUGCUGGGCCGACACUGACGCUGAGGCGCGAAAGCCAGGGGAGCGAACGGG
Molecule: ribosomal RNA, 254 nt
Filed under: uncultured bacterium
Lineage: Bacteria
Description: partial 16S ribosomal RNA
Rfam family: Bacterial small subunit ribosomal RNA
Source: RNAcentral